RNAcentral lists this ribosomal RNA (1173 nucleotides) under Acinetobacter sp. Its description in RNAcentral is "bacterial SSU rRNA". It matches the Rfam family "Bacterial small subunit ribosomal RNA", at positions 43 to 1184 of the family's 1533-position model. The record is from RNAcentral. Lineage: Bacteria; Pseudomonadati; Pseudomonadota; Gammaproteobacteria; Moraxellales; Moraxellaceae.
CGGGUGAGCUACCAUGCAAGUCGAGCGGAGAGAGGUAGCUUGCUACUGAUCUUAGCGGCGGACGGGUGAGUAAUGCUUAGGAAUCUGCCUAUUAGUGGGGGACAACAUUUCGAAAGGAAUGCUAAUACCGCAUACGUCCUACGGGAGAAAGCAGGGGAUCUUCGGACCUUGCGCUAAUAGAUGAGCCUAAGUCGGAUUAGCUAGUUGGUGGGGUAAAGGCCUACCAAGGCGACGAUCUGUAGCGGGUCUGAGAGGAUGAUCCGCCACACUGGGACUGAGACACGGCCCAGACUCCUACGGGAGGCAGCAGUGGGGAAUAUUGGACAAUGGGCGCAAGCCUGAUCCAGCCAUGCCGCGUGUGUGAAGAAGGCCUUAUGGUUGUAAAGCACUUUAAGCGAGGAGGAGGCUACUUUAGUUAAUACCUAGAGAUAGUGGACGUUACUCGCAGAAUAAGCACCGGCUAACUCUGUGCCAGCAGCCGCGGUAAUACAGAGGGUGCAAGCGUUAAUCGGAUUUACUGGGCGUAAAGCGCGCGUAGGCGGCUAAUUAAGUCAAAUGUGAAAUCCCCGAGCUUAACUUGGGAAUUGCAUUCGAUACUGGUUAGCUAGAGUGUGGGAGAGGAUGGUAGAAUUCCAGGUGUAGCGGUGAAAUGCGUAGAGAUCUGGAGGAAUACCGAUGGCGAAGGCAGCCAUCUGGCCUAACACUGACGCUGAGGUGCGAAAGCAUGGGGAGCAAACAGGAUUAGAUACCCUGGUAGUCCAUGCCGUAAACGAUGUCUACUAGCCGUUGGGGCCUUUGAGGCUUUAGUGGCGCAGCUAACGCGAUAAGUAGACCGCCUGGGGGAGUACGUGUCGCAAGACUAAAACUCAAAUGAAUUUGACGGGGGGCCCGCACAAGCGGUGGAGCAUGUGGUUUAAUUUCGAUGCAACGCGAAGAACCUUACCUGGUCGUUGACAUAGUAAGAACUUUCCAGAGAUGGGAUUGGAUGGCCUUUCGGGAAGCGUAACAUAACAGGUGCUGGCAUGGGCUGGUCGUCAGCUCGUGUCGUGGAGAAUGUUUGGGGGUUAAGGUCCCGGCAACGAGCGCCAACCGUUUUCCGUUAUUUGCCAGUCGAGCUAUGUCGGGGAACUUGAGAUACCUGCAGGUUGACAACCUUGGAAAGGAAAGCCUUGG